UUUUUUUUUUUGAAAACCCAUCGGUUGGAUUUUAAAGGUGCCCACCUUCUGCUAAAUAAUUUUUUGUGUUGUUGAUUUGAUUUUUCAGUAUAAUAAUGGUUUUAUUCAAUUGAAGGGUGUUAGUUUUUUUGGUAAUCAAGUCAAACUUGAGUUUGCAGACUCGUUCAUCACGGUGAUGGUGAUUCUGGUUUGGUGGUGCCAUAAUCCAUCUAGGUAGGAUGAGGGGAGGUCGAAGAGGUUGUGAGUGGACGACGAUGAGGAGAGCGUAACAAGUGGAAAUCGACGGCAGGGACGAGAAAUGAGACGUUGGAAGGGAGAAUGGAGAAGGCGGUGAAGAUCGUUGGUGGAGUGUUAAACUCUUCCUCCACUGUAGAUGUGUAAAAUUUCAGAUCUGAAGGUCGAAGAAAUGUGAAAGAAAAACAGAAAAAAAAAAUAUAGUGCACAUAGACCAUGAUAAAAUCAAUACACCUCUUUAAUCUAAUGACUAAAAUUUACUUUCCCAUGAUGGGAAACAACUAUCCAU
Molecule: long non-coding RNA, 523 nt
Filed under: Medicago truncatula (barrel medic)
Lineage: Eukaryota; Viridiplantae; Streptophyta; Magnoliopsida; Fabales; Fabaceae
Description: long non-coding RNA (MTRU_LNC001768)
Source: RNAcentral